UGGGAAUUUUGGACAAUGGGGGCAACCCUGAUCCAGCAAUGCCGCGUGUGUGAAGAAGGCCUUCGGGUUGUAAAGCACUUUUGUCCGGAAAGAAAUCGCCCUGGCUAAUAUCCGGGGUGGAUGACGGUACUGGAAGAAUAAGCACCGGCUAACUACGUGCCAGCAGCCGCGGUAAUACGUAGGGUGCGAGCGUUAAUCGGAAUUACUGGGCGUAAAGCGUGCGCAGGCGGUUGUGCAAGACAGAUGUGAAAUCCCCCGGGGCUUAAACCUGGGAAUGGCAUUUGUGACUGCACGGCUAGAGUGUGUCAGAGGGGGGUAGAAUUCCACGUGUAGCAGUGAAAUGCGUAGAUAUGUGGAGGAACACCGAUGGCGAAGGCAGCCCCUGGGAUAACACUGACGCUCAUGCACGAAAGCGUGGGGAGCAAACAGGAUUAGAUACCCUGGUAGUCCACGCCCUAAAGCGAUGUCAACUAGUUGUCGGGUCUUAAUUGACUUGGUAACGCAGCUAAACGCGUGAAGUUGACCGCCU
Molecule: ribosomal RNA, 529 nt
Filed under: uncultured bacterium
Lineage: Bacteria
Description: partial 16S ribosomal RNA
Rfam family: Bacterial small subunit ribosomal RNA
Source: RNAcentral